UACGUAGGAGGCGAGCGUUGUCCGGAGUUACUGGGCGUAAAGCGCACGCAGGCGUCAGAUCAGUCUGGAGUGACAGUCGUCGGCUUAACCGACGAAGUGUUCUGGAAACUGUCUGACUUGAGGGCUUCAGAGGGACACGGAAUUCCGGGUGGAGUGGUGAAAUGCGUAGAUAUCCGGAGGAACACCAAGGCGAAGGCAGUGUCCUGGGAAGUACCUGG
RNAcentral lists this ribosomal RNA (218 nucleotides) under uncultured bacterium. RNAcentral's name for it is "partial 16S ribosomal RNA". It matches the Rfam family "Bacterial small subunit ribosomal RNA", at positions 524 to 745 of the family's 1533-position model. The record is from RNAcentral.